UACGGAGGGGGCGAGCGUUAUUCGGAAUUAUUGGGCGUAAAGGGCGCGUAGGCGGCUUGACAAGUCAAAGGUGAAAUCCCUCGGCUCAACUGAGGAACUGCCUUUGAAACUGUCUGGCUUGAGGCCGGGAGGGGGUAGCGGAAUUCCCAGUGUAGCGGUGAAAUGCGUAGAUAUUGGGAGGAACACCAGUGGCGAAGGCGGCUACCUGGACCGGUUCUGACGCUGAUGCGCGAAAGCGUGGGUAGCUAACAGG
This 253-nucleotide ribosomal RNA is filed under the name uncultured bacterium. RNAcentral describes it as "partial 16S ribosomal RNA". It matches the Rfam family "Bacterial small subunit ribosomal RNA", at positions 524 to 776 of the family's 1533-position model. The record is from RNAcentral.